Molecule: long non-coding RNA, 360 nt
Organism: Lacerta agilis (Sand lizard)
Lineage: Eukaryota; Metazoa; Chordata; Lepidosauria; Squamata; Lacertidae
Exons: 3
Source: RefSeq, a predicted model, not a curated record
GGGAAUGGGCGGGUAGUCAGUCAGUCAGGUAAAAAGCGAGCCUGAGCCCAGAGGGCAGCGCAAGAGUACAGAACUCAAAAACAAAAUGAAUCCAGAAAUGAUCAGCUGAUAAGAUCUCAUAAGAUAAAAUUGUCAGCCGUCAGGUCAGAAGCGUAGUAGCUGUCUAGUCUCGGGAUUCUGUGUUGAGAGAGCACUUGCCGUGUUGGUUGAAGCAGGAGAACGGAAGCCAGAAAAGUAGACAGCUCAGAUAUCCAGACAGAUGAAGGACAAGCUAUAAACAGUUUUAAUAGAAAUAAACAACAUUUAAGAAGCCUAAACCAGUUAUGUACCCAAGAACUGAAAGCAAGGGAAGAGAGACAA